AGCGAAUAGAUACCCGGGUAGUCCUAGCCGUAAACGAUGGACACUAGGUGUUGGUGGUAUCAACCCCGCCAGUGCCGAAAGCUAAACGCAUUAAAGUGUCCCGCCUGGGGAGUACGGCCGCAAGGCUAAAAACUCAAAGGAAUUGACGGGGGCCCGCACAAGCAGCGGAGCGUGGGGUUUUAAUUCGACGCAACGCGAAGAACCUUACCAGGGCUUGACAUGACCAGGAUCCCGGCGGAAAACGUCGGUUCCCCGCAAGGGGCCUGGCCACAGGUGUUGCAUGGCUGUCGUCAGCUCGUGUCGUGAG
This 307-nucleotide ribosomal RNA is filed under the name uncultured bacterium. Its description in RNAcentral is "bacterial SSU rRNA". It matches the Rfam family "Bacterial small subunit ribosomal RNA", at positions 771 to 1071 of the family's 1533-position model. The record is from RNAcentral.